This 1376-nucleotide ribosomal RNA is filed under the name metagenome. RNAcentral describes it as "bacterial LSU rRNA". It matches the Rfam family "Bacterial large subunit ribosomal RNA", at positions 1475 to 2840 of the family's 2925-position model. The record is from RNAcentral.
GAGAAGGUUAGCUCAGCCAACUGUUGGAUAUGUUGGUUCAAGCCUGUAGUCGUGCCUGGUAGGUAAAUCCGCCGGGCUUAGAUGGGGGGUGAUAACGAGGCUGCUUGCAGCCGAAGUGAGUGAUACCCUGCUUCCAGGAAAAGCCACUAAGCUUCAGCUACACACGACCGUACCGCAAACCGACACUGGUGCGCGAGAUGAGUAUUCUAAGGCGCUUGAGAGAACUCAGGAGAAGGAACUCGGCAAAUUGACACCGUAACUUCGGAAGAAGGUGUGCCUUUAGUAGGUGAAGUCCCUCGCGGAUGGAGCCCAAUGAGGUUGCAAAAAAUCGGUGGCUGCGACUGUUUAUUAAAAACACAGCACUCUGCAAACACGAAAGUGGACGUAUAGGGUGUGACGCCUGCCCGGUGCUGGAAGAUUAAAUGAUGGGGUGCAAGCUCUUGAUUGAAGUCCCAGUAAACGGCGGCCGUAACAAUAACGGUCCUAAGGUAGCGAAAUUCCUUGUCGGGUAAGUUCCGACCUGCACGAAUGGCGUAACGAUGGCCACACUGUCUCCUCCUGAGACUCAGCGAAGUUGAAAUGUUUGUGAUGAUGCAAUCUCCCCGCGGAAAGACGGAAAGACCCCAUGAACCUUUACUGUAGCUUUGUAUUGGACUUUGAACAGAUCUGUGUAGGAUAGGUGGGAGGCUUUGAAGCAGGGUCGCUAGAUCUUGUGGAGCCAACGUUGAAAUACCACCCUGGUGUGUUUGAGGUUCUAACCUAGGUCCAUUAUCUGGAUCGGGGACAGUGCAUGGUAGGCAGUCUGACUGGGGCGGUCUCCUCCCAAAGAGUAACGGAGGAGUUCGAAGGUACGCUAGGUACGGUCGGACAUCGUGCUAAUAGUGCAAUGGCAUAAGCGUGCUUAACUGCGAGACUGACAAGUCGAGCAGAUGCGAAAGCAGGACAUAGUGAUCCGGUGGUUCUGCAUGGAAGGGCCAUCGCUCAACGGAUAAAAGGUACUCUGGGGAUAACAGGCUGAUACCGCCCAAGAGUUCAUAUCGACGGCGGUGUUUGGCACCUCGAUGUCGGCUCAUCUCAUCCUGGGGCUGUAGCCGGUCCCAAGGGUAUGGCUGUUCGCCAUUUAAAGAGGUACGUGAGCUGGGUUUAAAACGUCGUGAGACAGUUUGGUCCCUAUCUUCCGUGGGCGCUGCAGAUUUGAGGAAGCCUGCUCCUAGUACGAGAGGACCGGAGUGGACACACCUCUGGUGUAUCGGUUGUCACGCCAGCGGCAUUGCCGAGUAGCUAAGUGUGGAAGAGAUAACCGCUGAAAGCAUCUAAGCGGGAACUCGUUUCAAGAUGAGAUCUGCCGGGGCCUUGAGCCCCCUGAAGAGUCGUUC